CCCAGACUCCUACGGGAGGCAGCGGUGGGGAAUAUUGGGCAAUGGGCGCAGGCCUGACCCAGCAACGCCGCGUGAAGGAAGAAGGCUUUCGGGUUGUAAACUUCUUUUAAGAGGGAAGAGCAGAAGACGGUACCUCUUGAAUAAGCUCCGGCUAACUACGUGCCAGCAGCCGCGGUAAUACGUAGGUGGCAAGCGUUAUCCGGAUUUAUUGGGUGUAAAGGGCGUGUAGGCGGGAAUGCAAGUCAGAUGUGAAAACUAUGGGCUCAACCCAUAGCCUGCAUUUGAAACUGUAUUUCUUGAGUGCUGGAGAGGCAAUCGGAAUUCCUAGUGUAGCGGUGAAAUGCGUAGAUAUUAGGAGGAACACCAGUGGCGAAGGCGGCCUGCUGGACGACAACUGACGGUGAGGCGCGAAAGCGUGGGGAGCAAACAGGAUUAGAUACCCCGGUAA
Molecule: ribosomal RNA, 448 nt
Filed under: uncultured bacterium
Lineage: Bacteria
Description: bacterial SSU rRNA
Rfam family: Bacterial small subunit ribosomal RNA
Source: RNAcentral